This 1845-nucleotide long non-coding RNA is filed under the name Solanum tuberosum (potato). Its description in RNAcentral is "long non-coding RNA (STUB_LNC002998)". The record is from RNAcentral. Lineage: Eukaryota; Viridiplantae; Streptophyta; Magnoliopsida; Solanales; Solanaceae.
UCUGAAGAGAAAUAGGCUGUUUGUGAGAACUUGUAGAUCGAUAAACAAUUCAAAGACCUCUGCAUGGAUUUCAACUCCAUGAAGUCCGAAGGAUGAGGGUAAGGCUUCCAUAGUUUCACAUUGGCAGCAGGGGCGGACCCACGUGGUCUUCAGGGGGUUCGGCAGCAAAAAAUUACAUUGUAUAUAUAAAGUAAAUUUUUUGUAUGUUUGUAAAUAUAUAUAUUUUGAACCCCUCAAUAACAAAGAGAAGCUAAGUCCCCCUAAAAUUAAGUUGUGCGUCCGUGGUUCAAAUCCCAGUGAAAGCGUUUUCUUUUUUUCUUUUUUAGUUUCAGUAUUUUUUUAUUUAUUUUUUAAAUUUUCAGUUCUGUUUUUCAUUUUUUAGUGUUUUUUUUACUUUAAAAAACGUGCUAAAAGUGGGGUUUUAAACCCAAAAAAAAAUCAAGGUUCUCAUUUCUAAAAGCUUAUUUACACGUUUAUACUUUUAUUUUUCGAACCCCCUGAACGAAAAUUCUGGGUCCGCCACUGAUUGGCAGUGGCUUAGAUCUUAUUCAGCUCUUACUGGGAAAGAAUAUCAUUGUUCACAAUUGAGCUGAAACACAUACUGAUGUUUCGUAUUUGGACAGAGGUACAGAUCAAUGAAAUAUUUGCCAACCACAGUUUGUUUGUUUGGAAUUGAAACGUAAUUGCUGUUGUACAUAAUGGAAUUUUCUUUACAUCAAGGGCCUUAUUUUAUAGGAAAAUUAAGGGUGUGUUUGGUAUGAAGGAAAAUGUUUUCCAUGGAAAAUGUUUUCCUGGAAAACAAGUUGAUUUUUGACUUAUUUUCUCAUGUUUGGUUGGUGAUUAGAAAAUAUUUUUCGGAAAAAAAAUUUAGUGUUUGAUUUAUGAAUGAAAAAUAUUUUUGAAAAAUAUCUUUUAUUUUUACUAGAGUAGAAAAUAAUUUUUGAAAUUGAAAACAUUUUUUAAAAACAAUUCUAUUGGUCAUGAGAUUUCUCGUUUUAAUUUCAAAAACCUAGUGCUCAUUUGAAAUUUGCAAAGUCGGUCUCAUAAAUGCCGCUAGAUAUACUACAUGUGAUUGCUUUGUUGGUGAUCCUCUUCAAUUAAGUUGACAAAUGGAGUUCUUGUAGGUCACGGUGGAUUCCUUUCAUGAUUCAAAAUUGGGUGUGCUUUUUGAUCCCAAAUCACUGAUUCAAGCACUUUCCAAUCUUUUGACGGAUGAACGAGCCUGAAUGCCACUGUGCUCGUUAAACCUUAAUUUAUCAGAAAUUUCAGAGCUUGUGGCACAGUAGUGUUCUGAAGUUUCUCCCUUUUGCACAACUUGCAACGGUAUGAAGUUUGCUAAUAGGGAGUGCAGUAAUCUUGUUUUGUUCAUACAUCUAUCGAUUUUCAUAAUAUUUUUAGUGCUGCUAUUGCAGGGUCUGAAGAGAAAUAGGCUGUUUGUGAGAACUUGUAGAUCGAUAAACAAUUCAAAGACCUCUGCAUUGAUUUCAACUCCAUGAAGUCCGAAGGAUGAGGGUAAGGCUUCCAUAGUUUCACGUUGGCAGUGGCUUAGAUCUUAUUCAGCUCUUACUGGGAAAGAAUAUCAUUGUUCACAAUUGAGCUGAAACACAUCUGAUGUUUCGUAUUUGGACAGAGGUACAGAUCAAUGAAAUUUUUGCCAACCACAGUUUGUUUGUUUGGAAUUGAAGCGUAAUUGCUGUUGUACAUAAUGGGAUUUUCUUUAUAUCAAGGGCCUUAUUUUAUAGGAAUAUUAAAUGUUCACUCUUUAGAGCAGGGUGUUGAAUAUUUUCCGUUUCCGUUAAGGGACAAACUGCUGUGAUGCCUUUCCUCUUAUUUUUUUGUUUAUUC